RNAcentral lists this ribosomal RNA (730 nucleotides) under uncultured bacterium. Its description in RNAcentral is "bacterial SSU rRNA". It matches the Rfam family "Bacterial small subunit ribosomal RNA", at positions 771 to 1501 of the family's 1533-position model. The record is from RNAcentral.
AACAGGAUUAGAUACCCUGGUAGUCCACGCCGUAAACGAUGUCGACUUGGAGGUUGUGCCCUUGAGGCGUGGCUUCCGGAGCUAACGCGUUAAGUCGACCGCCUGGGGAGUACGGCCGCAAGGUUAAAACUCAAAUGAAUUGACGGGGGCCCGCACAAGCGGUGGAGCAUGUGGUUUAAUUCGAUGCAACGCGAAGAACCUUACCUACUCUUGACAUCCAGAGAACUUAGCAGAGAUGCUUUGGUGCCUUCGGGAACUCUGAGACAGGUGCUGCAUGGCUGUCGUCAGCUCGUGUUGUGAAAUGUUGGGUUAAGUCCCGCAACGAGCGCAACCCUUAUCCUUUGUUGCCAGCGGUUAGGCCGGGAACUCAAAGGAGACUGCCAGUGAUAAACUGGAGGAAGGUGGGGAUGACGUCAAGUCAUCAUGGCCCUUACGAGUAGGGCUACACACGUGCUACAAUGGCGCAUACAAAGAGAAGCGACCUCGCGAGAGCAAGCGGACCUCAUAAAGUGCGUCGUAGUCCGGAUUGGAGUCCGCAACUCGACUCCAUGAAGUCGGAAUCGCUAGUAAUCGUGGAUCAGAAUGCCACGGUGAAUACGUUCCCGGGCCUUGUACACACCGCCCGUCACACCAUGGGAGUGGGUUGCAAAAGAAGUAGGUAGCUUAACCUUCGGGAGGGCGCUUACCACUUUGUGAUUCAUGACUGGGGUGAAGUCGUAACAAGGUAACC